Molecule: long non-coding RNA, 8178 nt
Filed under: Equus caballus (horse)
Lineage: Eukaryota; Metazoa; Chordata; Mammalia; Perissodactyla; Equidae
Description: lncRNA (ENSECAG00000050900.1)
Source: RNAcentral
GGGGCUCUGAUUUCAGGAAACGUGGUCGCGCGGGUCGCUGACCGAGAUGUCUGGGUGCGACAAAGAUUGCGCCCAGAUAAACAAGUCAGACUCGCACUCGGUAGUGAGUGAUGGGCGACAAAAGGCAAGGCCAACACAAAGGGGCAUUUUUGUUAUCGAAAAGCCCUUGAAGCAACUAAAGCUAAAGAACAUGAGGUUAGCUAAAAAUCAUCUGGCUUGCUCAGAAGGUCUGUUUGGGUGUUUCGUGUUCGCAGGGCAGCACCUGUUGUACUGUUCUGCCUGUAGCCGUUUACCCUCACACCUCCAUUUUCAAAAACAUUUUCCUGGCAUGGAGAAUUUGUUGGUGAUUUGGCUGGCUAGAGCAUCUACCAGAUAUCAGGAACAAGGGAAAGGAAGGCACCAAAGUUAAAGCUAAGAGUUCCAGUCUGAAUAUCUACUUUUCUGGAUUCUGGAAAAUUACAGUAUAAACAGGUGUGUUAUAUAUAAUGAAACAUAUAGGGGAGAGUAUGUGGGGAAUUAGGUUAGGGGACUGGAUGAUGAGUGAUGGUUGUACCAUACCUUUAAGUACAGUUUUUUUUUUACUGCAUUAAUAUAUCACAAUGAAUUAUGACUGUUGGCAGAUAUUUUAGAAAUCUCGAAAUAGAUUCAGCUUAGCUUCUAGUGCCCUCCCCAAUAUGGCACAACGAUACCUGUUCAGCCUUAUCUCUCACGUUUCCUUUGUUUAAGCAAUCUGGUCAAAACAGGAUUAAAAAUCUUCCUCAACUUACAAUGGAGUUAUAUCCUGAUAAACCCAUCAUAAAUUGAAAACAUUGGUAAGUCAAAAAUGUGUUUAAUACGCCUAACCUACUGAAAAUCAUAGCUUAGUCUAACCGAUCGUAAACGUGCUCAGAGCACUUACAUUAGCCUACAGUUGGGCAAGAUCAUCGAAGACAAAGCCUAUUUUAUAAUAAGGUGUUGAAUAUCUCAUGUAGUUUAUUGAAUACUGUACUGAAAGUGAAAAACAGAAUGGUUGGAGGGCUACAGAAUGGUUUUAUGUGUGUGGGUUGUUUACCCUCGUGAUUGCAUCAUUGUUUACCCAGGCAGCUCGCUGCGCUGCCCAGCCUCACAAGAGAGGAUCGGACAGCAUAUCGCUAGACCGGGAAAAGAUUAAAAUUCCAAGUACAGUUUCUACUGAAUGCAUAUCGUUUUCGCACCAUUGUAAAUUCAAAAUAUCCUAAGUCAAAUCAUCGUAAGUCAGGGACCCUCUGUACUUAUCCUCCCUAAGACCUGAAUUUACAUGUCGGUGCUUCUUUGUGUUAACCCACGCUAUUCUAUGUCUUCAUUUUCCUAAAUUCUACCUUUCAUUCAAGGUUCAGGGGCAGCUCUUUCAUGAAGUUGUCCUUGAUCACAUCCCUCUGUCUUGUAAAAGAGCAUCCUCACCUUUUAACUCUGAUGGCAUCCGUUAGCUAAUAUGGGCCAUGUAGCUAAUAUGCAGUCAUAUUACAUGAGUACAAAUCUUACCUGUUCUGCUAAAUCUCUUGUUCCCUGCAUAUUCCUAACCUACUCCCUUGGGCAGACCUGCUUGCUUGUCUGUAUUUGGCCCUUGAGUCUAACCUUGGGCAGGGACGGUUUCAUCUUCAUCAUGCAGCCCCAGGCCUAGCAUAUGUUGUAUGCAUAUGUGCUCAAUCAAUACCUGUUUAUCUAAUGGAUGGGUGGAUUUAUUACAUACUGAAUGAAUUCAUCUAAAACAGGUUGAUUAGCUUAUCUUAGCCUCCUUUGUUAAAAGUCAAAGAAAUGCUGGCAUAGAGAUUUGCAAGGAAGAAGAAUUUUUGCUUAAUUAUGAUAACUAAUUAUCUAAAAAAUAUUUGGCUAAUAUUUUAGUGAGACUCCUAUUAAGAUUCUAGAUGUUCAAAUUACUAUCAACAACCUUUAAAAUUAACAGUGUCUAUUGUAUUUUAUGGAAAUGCCAACCAACUAUCCAGAAUCCUCAUUGGAUUACAUUCUCAUUGAAUAAAAAAUGUGGAAUAUGAAUGCUCAGUGGUUCUUAGCAAUCAAGGAGCCAUGUAGCGCUCCAGUGUAAUGUUUCAACCUUUCCCCAAAACCGUAUUGAGUCUUGGCCAGACAUAUUAGCAUGAGCUGACCGACAAAAGAUGUAGGUUCUAGGAAAGUAAGAAUAGAAAUGAUUCCAGCUAGCAUUAACCCUAUAAGUGUGUUAGUUAUCAUCUGUGUGGUAUGUUAAAGCACUGGCAAGUAGUGAACUACUUUGAAUGAUUACAUUAAGUAAUAUAGGACACAAAAAAACUUUCCAAUACUGUUAAGUCAAGAGGAAAAUUGGAAUGGUGUCUAAUCUAACAUAUGUAUAUACUUUUUCUCCUCCUUCCACUGUAAUCAAAUCAAUCAAUCUCUUUUUCCAUAUAUAUAUACACACAUGUAUAUAUAUACACACACAUAUAUGCAUGUGUAUAUGUAUGUAUAUGCAUUUCUUUCUCUCAAGCAAACACUCACUCAUUUCUUCUCUGUUCCUGCCCCGUCUGGCUUCUGAAAGUCUGAAGAAGUCAGAGCUCUACAGAAAGUCAAUAAAAAUGGUUGUAUUCAAUAUGCGAGGUUCAAGUUACCCUUAAAUUUGGAACUCCUAAUCAACUCUAUAUUUAAUUAAUUACUUAUUUGUAUUAUACAGGGUGAUUCAAAAAGAAUUGCACCUUGGCCACCCAGAUCCUCAGAUGUCUCACUUUGCAACUUCCUUCAGACAGAAUACCUCCGGAACCUCACAUCUGUACUGCACCUUCAUUUUUUUUCAACCUUCAAAAAAUGAAGAAUCUUGUCCUGGCUGCCAUUUCAGUUGUCAAAGGUGACAUUUUACAAAGGGUCAAGGGUGAUUGAUGCGUGCCCUAGGAACAUGAAAGGUGCAUACUGAACAUUUAUUAAAUUAUGGAGAGGGCUUCUUUACAAUGAAAGUUGUCAAAUUAUGGCCCGUGCUCUAAAUCCAUCCUGCCCACUGUUUUUGUAAAUAAAGUUUUAUUGGAACACAGCUAUGCACAUUCCCUUAUGUAUUGUGUACAGCUGCUUAUACUACAACAGAGUUGAAUAUUGCAGCAGAGACUAUCUCACCUGCAAAACCUAAAAUAUUUAGUCUCCGGCCCUUUGCAGAGUAAGUGUGCAGACCCAUCUUUACAAACUGACCUUUUCUACAUGCUCCUAUAAACCCCAGUUACUGGUUAAUGCAUUUCCAAAAGUUGCACUUCUUUUGGAAUCACCCUGUACUUGAACAAUUUCUAUUACAAAAGUCUUAACAAUUAUACCAUAAAAUCGUUGAGAAUAUUUUUGUAUACCCUGCAGAUCCUACAUAGAACAGCAGUGGGUGCAUACUAAGCCUGUUAUAAAUAUUUGUUGAUAGAUUGAUUAAAUUGAGCAUUUAUUAAAAGAAUCAUGAAUCUCAUAAGAAAAAAUUAGCUCUCAGUUUUCCUUGAGUGUAUCUCAUUUUCCACCUAUUUUACUUUUCCUACAUAUCUCUCAGAAUGUUCGAGUCCUAAUAUAUUUAAAUACUAGGUCUGUGUACUAGAGAAGGAUGAAGAAAAAUAAAAAUAUAAAAUACAGGCAAUACCAGCUAUAAAACACACAGCUCACAAAUCUUUUUAUCCCUAGGACCAAAAGAAAAGAGAGAAGAGAAAAGCACCCCAGUUUAUUAUGUCCCAUUUUAAAAAGUAAUAGACUUUUAUUAAGACCUACAAUUAUGAUAGGUAUGGUAUGGGUUAAGAGGCUGGACGAGUAAGACCCCUGGUCUGAGAAGCCUAAAAUCCUAUAGGUGAUAUUAAUAACAUGUUUGUAAUAUUUUAAGGUUUCCAAGCUCUUUCCACAUUCACUGAUCAUUUUAUCCUUACAGUGACAUGUGAACCGGGUUGUCCCAACGUCUCACUUAUCUUUGUCACCUCAUAUUGUUGCUUUACUUGGACAAGAUGGAAAAACAUGUGAUUUAAAACUGUCUUGAUUACAGAUGUAAAAACUUGUCUUCUGAUUCCUAGUUCCCUAUUUUAAGCUAUCCAACCUAGUCUUAAGGUAGGUAACUUUUAAGGAAUGCCCUAGAAAUUGUGCCUUUUUUCAGGCUAAGAGAAUCUGGUAACAUUUUGCCUUAUUUUAUAUUAGUUAUUAAUGGGACAAGCUCAAUUCAGGACUUAUAAAGGCCACAAUAAAUCUGUAUAUCUCCUUUACGCUCUGUACUUUAGGCAAUAUACUGUGACAAUUCACUAAAGGCUGUACUAUUUGAGGAUGAGUUAGAAACACUGAUAUAGGACAAAGUGUUGUGCCCUUCAAGGCUCCUUGAUCUGUUUACAUUGAUAUUAAUAGAUGGUUCUGGGCUUCAGUCACAGGCCUGAAUAAUUCAGGUCAUACUGACCUGCUGCACUUUUUAAAAACUAUAAAAUAUUCUGGGAAAUAUUUUAGAUCGGUGAUACCUGCAAGUUAUUGAAAAAGUUCAAAAGUCCACAGAAAAUUAAGAAACUGUCUGAACUACAGUGGUGUAGAAAUAAUUAUAGUCAAUAUAAUAAAUCAACUUGUUCUUAAAUUGUCCCAUUUGGAUUAGUGUCCAAAGGGAAUGUUUUAUUAUUAACAGCAUAUGGCAGAUAAUUAGAAAAUACUACUGAUUUUCUAUAUUUAUUGUUUUUUGAGAUGGGUAAACUAAUAAUUUUAUUGUGGGCCAAACUCAUCAAAACAAUUGGUUCCAUAUGUUUUUGUAAUUAAUAUUAAUUAAUUGCAUAACUAUUAUGCAAUUGUAUAGUAUUAGAAAGUAGCUAUUUGAGAAUAUAAUGAAUGUCCAAUGGUAUUUUAUAGCUUGAGCUUCCUACUGUAAAGAGGUUAACCUUUUUAGCAUGAACUGCAUGCUCUGUGCCUGUUCCUGACUCUGUAUCCUACAGUAAAAGGAGUAAAACAGCAGAGAUAGAUUAGAUUGUACUCUACUGCCUCUGGAAUUCUUUGAAAGUCUAUUUCAGAGUCUUUCCAGCAGCCUUACCUUACUGACAUUUAGAUGGAAAAUGAAAAGAACCUAAAAACCUGCACACUUGCUAAAGACAACUAGAGAUUUCCAUUUUACAGAGCCUUGUUUAUCCUUUUGUUUCUGCUUUUUUUUUUUUAAAUCUAAAUGCAUUUAUUAAACAUUUUUUGGGCACAUUGCCAAAUCGGAUGCUACUGUAUAUAAAGAAACUGUGUGGAGUGUGGUAACACCAUCUGGCACUGUGAAUACAUUUUGGAAUGCUUGUGGAAAUUUCAAAGAAAAAUGUAGGAAAUUUUGUGUAUAAUUUUCUUAAACUUAUUUCCAUGAGAUCCAUGAUUUAGGAAACACAUUCUACAGGUUUUCCACAGACAUUUGGAUGAUUUUUUUUUUAUACCCAGAUAGUGCUUUAUGAAAAAGCAUAAUGCUUGGUUCUUACCUUUUAAUGACUCAUUAAUUCUGUGUAAAAUAGAGCUGUUAAUAGUAGAUUUUAAAAAUAUGCCAUGUAAAAAAAUCUUUAGAGGAUUUGUGAACUUCAUAUUAAUUCUUCCCCAAUCUUAAUAAGGUAGCAAACCAAAGUGCCUCUCAGUUUGAAGUUAGAGAAACUGAAGUACAGCCACAAUGUAUGUUUGUGACAUUCUAGAUACAAUCAAGAAAAGAAGUAGAGUGCUACUACACGUGUUUAUGACAUCUGUCUGUCUGCUAAGCUAGGAGUUGUUACAACUCACAGGAUUGAGCAAAAAGGCACCUCAAACGUGAAAUACAUCGCUCUGUUUAUUCCUGCAUCUGUAAAUACCAGUUUGUUAGUUCAUCAACAUUGGAGGAGUCAAGCCAAUUCAGAUUUUAAUUCGGUAGGCUGAAGGCACUGUUUUAGUUUGCAACCUGAGAACUCUCACUGUCACAAUUUUAAGUGACCUAAUUGAUAUGAUGUUGACCUAGGAGCAAUACCAAGGUGAAACUAAAAUCAUUACCAGCAAUUAUCUAUUAUAUUUAAAAUUAAGUACCUGAGAAACAAAGGUUUCCAAAAUAUGAUUAAAACAAGAUUAUAUCUAUGUGGAUGCUACCAACAUAUUAAUACACCUCCCAACUCAGAGACAUAAAGCCUGUGUUCUAUAAAGAUGUUUAAUUAUUUCAAAUUCAAGUCUUUGUAUAACCAACAAUCAUGGACUAUUUUUCAAGGGCAGUGGUAAGUAAAAUAUGGAAUUUAUUGGCUGAUGGUGCUGUUCAAGUGCCCUUCUACAUAAUAUGUUUCGUGUGUUCUGUUUCAAAGCCAUUUUGAUAAUGAAUCAACAGAUGUUACAUGAAAAAAUUGUUCUAAGGAUUCCUGCUAGCUUUCUCUCAGCCAUUCAUGUUUAAUUUGGGAAGGAAAUUUGAAGAAGUAAAUUAAUACCUAUUCUACCUGUUUUUAAAAGUUUAUGGUAAUAGAAGAGUCAGACAUAAUGAAUAUUUCUCAAAGUCAAGUGUUCUAUGAAAGGCAGUUUAGAUUGGAAGAGGUAGAAAUAUUCACAAUGAUAGUAUAUUAUAUUACAAGUAAAUACUUUAUGAGAAUUAGUGGAUAUAGUCAGAUAUAGGUAAAGAAAAACAAAAGAGAGUCAAAUAAUUUGGAGAAUAUUUGAUCUACUUAAAAGUUAUACCUCCAACACUAAAUUAAUACACAAAAAUGCGAAGUAAUCAAUUUUAAAUUGAAGAAUAAUUUCAGAUCUAGUUCAUGGGAAAUGAUUGCCUCUGCCUCAUGCAUGCAGGAGUAGAUAAGCUGCUCUGUUAUCUCAGCUCCACUUAUAAUCAUCAAUUUUUCAUUCAACUGAACAGUUGAUGAUCAAGAACUUAAGACAGUUCAGCUGAUGGGAUACCAAUCAUUGUGAUUUCGGCUGUAAAUAUUGUGAAGAAUUAGGUGCAACAAAAAUUCAAGCAAAUGUGGGCUGGCCCAGCGGCGUAGUGGUUAAGUUCAACCUGCUCCGCUUUGGCGGUCUGGGUUCGCAGGUUUGGAUCCCAGGCAUGGACCUACAUCACCCAUCAAACCGUGCUGUGGCAGCAUCCCACAUACAAAAUAGAGGAAGAUGGACACAGAUGUUAGCUCACGGCCACUCUUCCUCAAUCUCCCCCUCCCCCCCAAAUCAAGUAAAUGUGAAUUUUGGCCCUCAAUUUUACGUUUCAAAGACUUAGUAAAGUGUCAAAUACCAAGAAUAUACCAUUGGAAGAUGCUAUUUAGCUGUACACUAUCCCAUAGAAGCAGGUAAAUUGACCCAACUCUAGCACUUGCUUCCAUGCCCAGUUCCAGUUUCUGUUAUCUUCUUCUGGUUGUUCAUAGGUGUAAUUUGACAACACUCUACCUGAAUAGGUUAGCCAUAAUUGUGAGGGGAUUAAAACACAGACUCUGGAGCCAGACUGCCUGGCUGGGUUAGCCUCCUCACUCUUGCUCUGUGAGUUGGGCUCAACAGAUCACUUCUCUGUGCCUCAGUUUCCUACCUAUAUAAAGUUGAUGAUGAUAGUACCUAUCUCAUGGAGCAGUUGAGAAGAUGAAAUGAAUUAAUACACUUAAAGCUUUAAUUAGAGUGCCUGGUCCAUGGUGUAUGCUUAAUGGCUAUUACCUAUUGAGGCUUUUGGUGGUUAUUAUUGCUAUUAAAUUUCCAGGCAUUAGGUCCUUUCUUGAGAAUGAAGAUACUGUAUUUGAAAUUGAAGGAAAUUGGUAUGUAAGAACAUGAGUCCUACCAAGUGAUAAGAAAAAAAUCUAAGACAGAAGAUGAGAAAGCUUUGAAAUCAGAGGAAUGUUACCAAUCAACAUAGGGAAAUAUGAAUAGAAAUGCUUAGUUUAAUAGAAAGGAAAGGAAGAAGAAAUAUUUUAUUUUUGCAGCAAAUCAAAACACUGUUGGAUGCUUGUUAAGAGGAAAUGGAGGCCAUAUGGAGAAAACAAUUCCAUUACACAGUGUGGAAUGGAUUUAAAGGACAGCUGAAUAGCUAGGGCAUGAAUUAUGUAGGCCUUUAGCCAUAUAAUGUCAUAGAUUAACAAAGCAAACAGCAGGGGGCAUUGUGGUAGUUAAUGAGAGGUGGAAAGAGUUGUCAGGCUUCAAUGAUCAGUUUUUAUGAUGCGGUUUUCCUCAUUAAGGAAGUAUACUGAUAACAUUAUUUUGGUUCUUUCCAAUCAUUGCAUGCAUUAGGACCUUAAUAUUCUAAAUCUUUUCAUUUUAUUUAUUUUAUCUCUAUAGUUCUUAUAUUCAUUG